Molecule: ribosomal RNA, 253 nt
Filed under: uncultured bacterium
Lineage: Bacteria
Description: partial 16S ribosomal RNA
Rfam family: Bacterial small subunit ribosomal RNA
Source: RNAcentral
UACAGAGGUGGCAAGCGUUGUCCGGAUUUACUGGGCGUAAAGAGCGCGCAGGCGGCUGGUCAAGUCCGAUGUGAAAUCUCCCGGCUUAACUGGGAAACUGCAUCGGAAACUGAUCGGCUUGAAGGUGGGAGAGGGUAGUGGAAUUCCCGGUGUAGUGGUGAAAUGCGUAGAUAUCGGGAGGAACACCAGUGGCGAAGGCGACUACCUGGCCCAUUCUUGACGCUGAGGCGCGAAAGCUAGGGGAGCGAACGGG